CAGCAGCUGGCAGUCCACCUAAAAAAAAUACCAGAACCUAUUCUGAGGUUCAGCAGAAAUCAUGUUAAAGCAGCACUACACAGGUAUUCCUCUGAUCUCAGCAAGGAGGAGGAUGCAAACAAAUGCAGGUGUCUCUCCCUGUGCCAGCCCGUGGUGCCUGAGGACACAGUGCAAAGAAGGAAUGCGACAAGAAACGGCUGCCAGAGGCUUCUCAACUACAUUGCAGGAUACAGGAAAAAAGGAACAUGUUGCUGUUAACAAUGGAAGAAAAGACUGACACCUCCACAUAUACAAGACAGGAAUUUAGAAAAAUAAUUGGCUUUAGUUUUUAAUGUUGCUC
This is a long non-coding RNA of Anas platyrhynchos (mallard), 340 nucleotides long. RefSeq lists it as uncharacterized. Lineage: Eukaryota; Metazoa; Chordata; Aves; Anseriformes; Anatidae. The record is from RefSeq and is a predicted model, not a curated record.